This 202-nucleotide unclassified non-coding RNA is filed under the name uncultured fungus. RNAcentral's name for it is "sequence contains ITS1". Lineage: Eukaryota; Fungi. The record is from RNAcentral.
UUGCUUAUUUACUAAGACUCGGACUUCAUUAAUUGACAGAGUUUAAUGGGGCUUCUGACGGGCACUCGUCCACCGAAGUCGACGGGGGGCUAACGCUCCGCGGCCCGCCAAAGCAACAAAGGUAAGUAAACAAUGGGUGGGAGGUUCGGGCCCAGAGGACCCUAUCUCGGUAAUGAUCCUUCCGCAGGUUCACCUACGGAAA